GACGAACGCUGGCGGCGUGCUUAACACAUGCCAGUCGAACGGAAAGGCCCUGCUUGUGUGGGGUGCUCGAGUGGCGAACGGGUGAGUAACACGUGAGUAACCUGCCCUUGACUUUGGGAUAACUUCAGGAAACUGGGGCUAAUACCGGAUAGGAGCUCCUGCUGCAUGGUGGGGGUUGGAAAGUUUCGGCGGUGGGGGAUGGACUCGGGGUUUCUCAGCUUGUUGGUGGGGUAGGGGCUUACGAAGGCGUUGACGGGUAGCCGGCGCGCGAGGGUGGCCGGCAGCAGUGAGAGUGAGACAAGGCGCCGGCGGCGACGGGAGGCGGCAGCGGGGGGGAGGGAGACACGGGGGCAGGCCAGAUGCAGCGAGGGCGCGGGGGGGGGGAGGGCCGACGGGGGGUAAUCGCCUAUCACCCCUGACGAAGACGAGGUAGUGACGGUAGUGGAAGAAGAAGCACCGGCUAACUACGUG
RNAcentral lists this ribosomal RNA (471 nucleotides) under uncultured bacterium. RNAcentral's name for it is "partial 16S ribosomal RNA". It matches the Rfam family "Bacterial small subunit ribosomal RNA", at positions 28 to 507 of the family's 1533-position model. The record is from RNAcentral.